RNAcentral lists this ribosomal RNA (427 nucleotides) under uncultured bacterium. Its description in RNAcentral is "bacterial SSU rRNA". It matches the Rfam family "Bacterial small subunit ribosomal RNA", at positions 355 to 774 of the family's 1533-position model. The record is from RNAcentral.
UGGGGAAUUUUGGACAAUGGGCGCAAGCCUGAUCCAGCCAUGCCGCGUGAGUGAAGAAGGCCCUCGGGUUGUAAAGCUCUUUUGUCCGGAAAGAAAAGCAUUCGGUGAAUACCCGGAUGUUCUGACGGUACCGGAAGAAUAAGCACCGGCUAACUUCGUGCCAGCAGCCGCGGUAAUACGAAGGGUGCAAGCGUUACUCGGAAUUACUGGGCGUAAAGCGUGCGUAGGUGGUUGUUUAAGUCUGAUGUGAAAGCCCUGGGCUCAACCUGGGAAUGGCAUUGGAAACUGGGCAGCUAGAGUGCGGUAGAGGGUAGUGGAAUUCCCGGUGUAGCAGUGAAAUGCGUAGAGAUCGGGAGGAACAUCUGUGUCGAAGGCGACUGCCUGGACCAGCACUGACACUGAGGCACGAAAGCGUGGGGAGCAAACA